UCUGGAUUAGUGCGUUUUUUGACCCAUAUGGAUGAAGAAGAUCAAAGUGACAAAAAGGAGACUUCAGAACCUGAAUUUUCAAUAACAGAAAACUAUUCUGGUCAGAAAACUUGUGUGUUUCCUACUGCCGAUUCGGCUGUCAGCCUUUCCAGUUCCAGUGAUCAGAAUACUACUUCUCCUGGUAUGAAUAGCAAUGAUGAAUUAUGUGAGAGUGUUUCAGUACACCCGUUCCAGAUGACUGGAUUGACUGAUAUUGCAGACAUUAUUGAUGACCUUAUAACUAAAGACAGAGUUUCCAGUGAAGAACUUGGCUUAACAGAACAAGCUAUGGGCACCUCCAGAUUGCUGCUCUCUGAACACUAUAGUCGUCGAAUCUCACAGGCGUACGGUCUGAUGAAUGAACUGUUAUCUGAGUCAGUACAGCUACCAGCUCUACCACAGAAACCAUUGCCUAACAAAUCCAGCUCUACUCAGUCUUCCAGAUGUCAACACUGCCCUUCUCCAAGAGGAGAGAAUCAACACGGUCACAGUUUUCUAAUAAAUCGACCUGGAAAAGUCAAAUAUAUGUCCAAACCGAGUUACAUCCAU
RNAcentral lists this small RNA (588 nucleotides) under Pongo abelii (Sumatran orangutan). RNAcentral's name for it is "processed transcript". The record is from RNAcentral. Lineage: Eukaryota; Metazoa; Chordata; Mammalia; Primates; Hominidae.